AUGCAACUUGUAUCACUGGCAAGGGUUGGUGUCGAGGUUCUUGCCAGUCUGACCUCGCUGGUGCACCUUAUACUGCGUGUCAAGGGCAGUGUAAGGGAUCAUGCUCCCGAAGAAGACGUCGUUGUUGUCCGUGGUGCGACGUUCCCAAACCUCAAGUAUCUUGUCUUUGCGCAUGAAGUGCCCUACCUUACAUUCGAGGCAGGCGCUACGCCAAGGCUUCAGAACCUGACUAUAGAGUGUUGUGCGCAAGCAGUGCGUCAAGCCGAUGGUGUACUCAAUGGCAUCGAGCGCCUAGGGAGCCUCAGGGCGUGCAAGGUGCAUAUUUACAAGUGGGCCAAUCUCUUCAGGGAGAGUUUUGAUAGGUUUGCUGCUGUGGCACAAGGAGGGGAACACGUAUUUCAGGAGGAGGCUCCAUACAUGCAGGUGCAGAGUCUUCGGGCCGCGAUCAGCAAGGCGAUCAACAAGCACCCGGGGAAUCCCAGUGUCACCAUUGUGUUGUUCUUGUGUAUCAACCGGUUGCAAUGUGAGCAGAUGGAAGCUGGGUCCAAGUGUUUGGAGUGUUGGGCUGCAGUACAAGGAGCAAAAGGAAGCUGA
RNAcentral lists this ribosomal RNA (594 nucleotides) under Triticum aestivum (bread wheat). RNAcentral's name for it is "partial small subunit ribosomal RNA". The record is from RNAcentral. Lineage: Eukaryota; Viridiplantae; Streptophyta; Magnoliopsida; Poales; Poaceae.